AUCUUCAGGGCAGGGUGCAAUUCCCUACCGGUGGUAAAGCCCACGAGCCAUAAGGCAUGAUUCGGUGAGAUUCCGAAGCCGACAGUACAGUCUGGAUGAAAGAAGAUA
RNAcentral lists this non-coding RNA (108 nucleotides) under uncultured Blautia sp. RNAcentral describes it as "FMN riboswitch (RFN element)". It matches the Rfam family "FMN riboswitch aptamer (RFN element)". From Rfam's summary of the family: The RFN element is a highly conserved domain that is found frequently in the 5'-untranslated regions of prokaryotic mRNAs that encode for flavin mononucleotide (FMN) biosynthesis and transport proteins. The record is from RNAcentral. Lineage: Bacteria; Bacillati; Bacillota; Clostridia; Lachnospirales; Lachnospiraceae.